AACGAACGCUGGCGGCAUGCCUAACACAUGCAAGUCGAACGAGACCUUCGGGUCUAGUGGCGCACGGGUGCGUAACGCGUGGGAACCUGCCCUUAGGUUCGGAAUAACUCCCCGAAAGGGGUGCUAAUACCGGAUAAUGUCUUCGGACCAAAGAUUUAUCGCCUUUGGAUGGGCCCGCGUUGGAUUAGCUAGUUGGUAGGGUAAAAGCCUACCAAGGCGACGAUCCAUAGCUGGUCUGAGAGGAUGAUCAGCCACACUGGGACUGAGACACGGCCCAGACUCCCAAGGGAGGGCAGAGGGGGGAAUAAUUGACAAAGGGCGAAAGCCUGAUCCAGCAAUGCCGCGUGAGUGAUGAAGGCCUUAGGGUUGUAAAGCUCUUUUACCCGGGAUGAUAAUGACAGUACCGGGAGAAUAAGCUCCGGCUAACUCCGUG
This 433-nucleotide ribosomal RNA is filed under the name uncultured bacterium. RNAcentral's name for it is "partial 16S ribosomal RNA". It matches the Rfam family "Bacterial small subunit ribosomal RNA", at positions 29 to 507 of the family's 1533-position model. The record is from RNAcentral.